AAUAAUAUAGAAUGAUAAUACUACUAACAAUAUUAAUUAUUAUAAGUGUUAUACAUAUUAUCUAAGGGAACAUUAUCCUUAAUUUUAUCAUGUUGCAUAUCACUAUUAAGUAAAAUCAAUUUUAAACCAUCGGUUUGUUUCAGAAAACAUUCAGGAGCCUGACAAUCAUAUAAGGUCGGGCCAAACAACCGAGUUUGAAGAAGCUUAUUUAUAUAUUCAACCGGAUCAGGAGAAGAUGAGUCACCGUUAUAGCACACUUUUAUCAGUAGCAGAGCAACAGAGUGACCAAGAGAAGCCUCGUGUUACAGUUACAAACAGAUCAAAGAAACGUAUUUACGAAAAUAUAGUAGGAGGAAAGGAAUGUACAAAUACAGAUGAAGAUCGUAUACAACCAAGCCCUCAUGCUAUAAGUUCUCGGGAGCAAACCACGCACGAAUCUUUUGUAAGAAGUUCGCAAACUGCAGAGUAUGAAAUGAUGAGUACAUAGUUUGGAGAAGUUUUUGUUUAUCAUACAAUCGCUCUUUGUAACCAUAAGCGAUUCGCCAGAAUCGUAUAUACAAUCGUAGCACUGUACAGAAAUAAUGGCAGACUCGAAAAACACACAGUGAUCUGAAGCAAAGUUCAUUAUCUGUUUAUAUAUAUAUAUAUAUAUAUAGCGUGUAACCAGUCAGGUGUAUCAACAAUGUGACAUGCUUUUUUUAGCUGGCUUGCUUUUUUGCUGAUUACUCAGCUAACAUAGUGAAGUAAAAAGUGAUUUUGGUAUCAAAUUGAAGAGGAAUACUUCCUUUAUACAGUGAUGAAAAAAGUGGAAUAAAAAAUUAAUCAGGAAUAGGAUAUUGAUGUUAAAUGACAAUUUUCUUUGUCUGCUGGAAAAAUAGAAAUUUAUAACCAAUAGAUUCAAAUAGUGCAGAGCGAUUAAAUCAGCAGAGAUAAUAACAGUUAUUGGAUUACUGAUCAGCUCUGAUCAGCUCUGCUAUCACAACACGGACUACAAGUGACUGAAUAAAUCAAACAUACUUUAAAGCUGUUAUAUCGCUACCUCAGCAAAACGUCUUCAUGAGUGAAAAGGAGUCUUCAAAAGGGUUAAAAAAAUAAUACCAACCACCUGGAAAAAUGCCCGCCAAAGGUGAAGAAAGACCAAAACGCACCAACUUAGAAAGCAGUAAUGAUAGUCUGAAUGAUGGCUCAAUCAAGCAACAACUUGAGUCCAUAGAGCAGUCUCUAAAAUACUUAACAACUGAAACGAAAUCUCUUUUGAAAAGAGAAGCAAUUGAAAGCCUGAUUUUUAACACUCCGUCCUCCAUCCUUUCUGAAGUAGAAAAACGCAAUGAAGAAAGACUAACCUAAUUAAAAAAUGACAUUGCCAAAGAAAUGGAAGCAAAAUUACCAACAAACUGUUUGUAAACAAGUCGAAGAAAAAGUAAAAGACCUGACUGAACACAUCAAGGGCUAGAGUUCGAAAACGAAACUCCCAAAGAAACUAUUUCCUCAAUAAAAAAUGAUUAUAGUAAAAACAUUGAAAAUAUCACCACAUAAGUAAAUGAAAAUGCACACAAAAGCAAUGAUGCUAUAAAGCGCUCAAAUUACAACGAGCAGUAUUCACGUAAAAAUAAUAUAAAAAUAAUGGACAUACAAGAAGAUCACCAGGAAUCUAUUCCAAACCUAACUUCAAAGGUAAUAGGGCUACUUCACGAUAAAGGAGUCAAACUCCAAAACGACCAAAUACUCGAAAUUCACAGAAUACCAAGUAAGAAAGGACAAAGCAGACCAGUGCUUUUGAAGUUAAAGUGUAAUAAUGACAAAACACUAAUUAUGCGCAAAAGGAAGGAAAUGAAGGCAGCAGGGCACAGACUAGUUGACGAUGUUACAGCUCUCAACAGUGCAUUGAUGAAUAGACUGUCCCUACAUCCAGCCAUAGAGACCACUUGGUUUUUCAACGGUUCCGUGUUUGCGCUCACCAAGAAUCAAGAGCGCAUAAAGUUUGACAUCCAUGACAAUAUCAACAGUGUCAUAAGCGAGUACCGGGAAAUAAACAAUUAUCUGUUUAGACAGUGUGGACAUACCAGGACGUUUGCUAGUAAGAAAAUAAUCGCACAAAUUAUAUUUUAUGAUUAAUUGUCAUUCAAUCAUUUAGGGCUUAUUCUUAACAAUAUUGUCAAAUAGCGCUUUCUCUAUCCAAAAACUGCUGUCAAAGCAAAGUUUUUUCUCUCUGUAUUGUUAAAUUCUCUAAACGAAAAUGAAUGAACUGCUUUAAAAUUACAUGACUACAAGAUUGCAGUAGCAUUGCAUUAUUUGUGUAUUAAGAUCAACUGUAGUAUUUAGGGAUUAAUGACACUGUAUUUAGCUGGUAACUAUUGUUGAAAUAUAAUCAAUUCCUUUAUGUAUUGUGAAAAUAUCUCACUGAAUAUUCAGCUCUAAAUUGUAUGGCAGUUCAAAUCUAUUUUUGUUAAAGGCUUUACAAAUAUCCUGACACACUCCAAUAGCCCAAUAAAUGCAUACAGGUUAUUUUGAGCAUAAACAUGUGUAUAUUGAUCUAACAUGUAUGAAUAUUUUUACAUUAUUAUGUGCUAACAUGUAUGAACGUUUACAUUAUUAUCUACUUUAUUAAAUAUAGUAUAGCUAUUACAUUAUUAUGACCUUUAUUAAAAAAACGUGGCUAUACAUUUAACCUGUAACUUAAUCAUAUAUAAUCACUAUACAAAUACUGUAGAUAAUUUAUGCUGUUUCAUAAAAAAAAUUAAAAAGUAAUAAGAAACACGGUUUAUAGCAUAUUUCUUCACUUCAUGGAAAAACAAUCUUUGUGUUUUUGCUAUGCUAAUACAAUUUGGCAUUUGUGUAAUGUGUCAUUUAACCUGUUUAAUUUUAUUAAUGUGUAUAGUCAUCAUGUUAAUUGAAAAACAAUCAAUUUUUUGCUAUGCUAACAAUUUUGCAUUUUUGUAACGUGUCAUUUAAAUUGUUUAAUUUUAUUAAUAUGUAAUGUCAUAAUGUUAUUCAACUCCUGCCAGCAGGUAACUAUUGUUGAAAUACAAUCAAGUUCUUUAUGUAUUGUGAAAAUAUCUAACUGAAUAUUCAUCUCUAAAUUGUAUGGCUAGUUCAUAGCAGUUCAAAUCUAUUUAAUAGAAAAAUCUUUUUUUGCUAUGCUUAUAUAAUUUGACAUUUGUGAAAUGUGUCAUUUAAACUGUAUAAUUUAAUUAAUGUGUAAAGUUAUCAUGUUAAUUGAAAAACAAUCAAUUUUAUUUUUUGCUGUACUAAUACAAUUUGGCAUUUGUGUAAAGUGUAAUUUAAAUUGUUUAAUUUGAUCAAUGUGUAAAGUCAUAAUGUUAUUCACCUCCUGCCAGCAGGUAACUAUUGUUGUAAUACAAUCAAGUCCUUUAUGUAUUGUGAAAAUAUCUAAUAGAAUAUUCAUCUCUAAAUUGUAUGGCUAGUUCAUAGCAGUUCAAAUCUAUUUUCGAAUAUGUUGCGGUUCUCAUGAGAUUUUAUAUAAAAACAACAUGCGAAUCAAAGCCUAUUUAUUGCUUCAAUAAUUUUAAUAAACAGGGACUACUUUGGAUCAUAAUAUUGCAAUGCUCAAAAGCUAACCUGUUUGUGUGUGUUUGUGUUUGACAUUCAUAUUUUAAAACUGAGUAUUUGGUACAAAAACAGCAUGCUAUUCUAUUUCACUUGUUGUAAAUGUUUCACUUAAAUACAGAUGUGG
Molecule: long non-coding RNA, 3694 nt
Organism: Dreissena polymorpha
Lineage: Eukaryota; Metazoa; Mollusca; Bivalvia; Myida; Dreissenidae
Exons: 4
Source: RefSeq, a predicted model, not a curated record